This 498-nucleotide ribosomal RNA is filed under the name uncultured bacterium. Its description in RNAcentral is "partial 16S ribosomal RNA". It matches the Rfam family "Bacterial small subunit ribosomal RNA", at positions 28 to 507 of the family's 1533-position model. The record is from RNAcentral.
GACGAACGCUGGCGGCGUGCCUAAUACAUGCAAGUCGAGCGGACGAAUCGAAAGCUUGCUUUUGAUUCGUUAGCGGCGGACGGGUGAGUAACACGUGGGCAACCUGCCCUGUAGACGGGGAUAACACCGAGAAAUCGGUGCUAAUACCGGAUAACACGAAAUGUCGCAUGACGUUUCGUUGAAAGACGGCGCAAGCUGUCGCUACAGGAUGGGCCCGCGGCGCAUUAGCUAGUUGGUGAGGUAACGGCUCACCAAGGCGACGAUGCGUAGCCGACCUGAGAGGGUGAUCGGCCACACUGGGACUGAGGCACGGCCCAGACUCCUACGGGAGGCAGCAGUAGGGAAUCUUCCGCAAUGGACGAAAGUCUGACGGAGCAACGCCGCGUGAGCGAAGAAGGCCUUCGGGUCGUAAAGCUCUGUUGUUAGGGAAGAACAAGUAACGCAGUAACUGGCGUUACCGUGACGGUACCUAACGAGAAAGCCACGGCUAACUACGUG